UACGGAGGGUGCAAGCGUUAUCCGGAUUUACUGGGUUUAAAGGGUGCGUAGGUGGGUUUGUAAGUCAGCGGUGAAAUCUCCAGGCUUAACCUGGAAAUUGCCAUUGAUACUAUAGAUCUUGAAUUAUCUGGAGGUGAGCGGAAUAUGUCAUGUAGCGGUGAAAUGCUUAGAUAUGACAUAGAACACCAAUUGCGAAGGCAGCUCACUACGGAUAUAUUGACACUGAGGCACGAAAGCGUGGGGAUCAAACAGG
This 253-nucleotide ribosomal RNA is filed under the name uncultured bacterium. RNAcentral describes it as "partial 16S ribosomal RNA". It matches the Rfam family "Bacterial small subunit ribosomal RNA", at positions 524 to 776 of the family's 1533-position model. The record is from RNAcentral.